Molecule: ribosomal RNA, 1508 nt
Filed under: uncultured rumen bacterium
Lineage: Bacteria
Description: bacterial SSU rRNA
Rfam family: Bacterial small subunit ribosomal RNA
Source: RNAcentral
AGAGUUUGAUCAUGGCUCAGGAUGAACGCUGGCGGCGUGCCUAACACAUGCAAGUCGAACGGAGUGGAUUCUUCGGAAAACACUUAGUGGCGGACGGGUGAGUAACGCGUGGGUAAUCUGCCUUACACAGGGGGACAACAGUUGGAAACGACUGCUAAUACCGCAUAAGCCCACAGGAUCGCAUGAUCCGGUGAGAAAAGAUUCAUCGGUGUAAGAUGAGCCCGCGUUGGAUUAGCUAGUUGGCGGGGUAACGGCCCACCAAGGCGACGAUCCAUAGCCGACCUGAGAGGGUGAUCGGCCACAUUGGGACUGAGACACGGCCCAAACUCCUACGGGAGGCAGCAGUGGGGAAUAUUGCGCAAUGGGGGGAACCCUGACGCAGCAACGCCGCGUGAGUGAAGAAGUAUUUCGGUAUGUAAAGCUCUAUCAGCAGGGAAGAAGAUGACGGUACCUGCAGAAGAAGUCCCGGCUAACUACGUGCCAGCAGCCGCGGUAAUACGUAGGGGACAAGCGUUAUCCGGAUUUACUGGGUGUAAAGGGAGCGUAGGCGGCCAGCCAAGUCAGAAGUGAAAGCCCGCGGCUCAACUGCGGGACUGCUUUUGAAACUGGAGGGCUUGAGUACUGGAGGGGCAAGCGGAAUUCCUGGUGUAGCGGUGAAAUGCAUAGAUAUCAGGAAGAACACCGGAGGCGAAGGCGGCUUGCUGGACAGAAACUGACGCUGAGGCUCGAAGGCGUGGGGAGCAAACAGGAUUAGAUACCCUGGUAGUCCACGCGGUAAACGAUGAAUGCUAGGUAUUGGGUUCCAACGGGAUUCGGUGCCGCAGUUAACGCAAUAAGCAUUCCACCUGGGGAGUACGUUCGCAAGAAUGAAACUCAAAGGAAUUGACGGGGGACCCGCACAAGCGGUGGAGCAUGUGGUUUAAUUCGACGCAACGCGAAGAACCUUACCAGAUCUUGACAUCCUCCUGACCGGUCCUUAAUCGGACCCUUCCUUCGGGACAGGAGAGACAGGUGGUGCAUGGUUGUCGUCAGCUCGUGUCGUGAGAUGUUGGGUUAAGUCCCGCAACGAGCGCAACCCUUGCCCUCAGUAGCCAGCAGGUAAAGCUGGGCACUCUGGGGGGACAGCCGGAGACAAUCCGGAGGAAGGUGGGGAUGACGUCAAAUCAUCAUGCCCCUUACGAUCUGGGCUACACACGUGCUACAAUGGCGCUCAACAAAGAGAAGCGAAGGAGUGAUCCGGAGCGAAUCUCAAAAACAGCGUCUCAGUUCGGACUGUAGUCUGCAACCCGACUACACGAAGCCGGAAUCGCUAGUAAUCGCGAAUCAGCAUGUCGCGGUGAAUACGUUCCCGGGUCUUGUACACACCGCCCGUCACACCAUGGGAGUCGGUAACGCCCGAAGCCAGUGACCCAACCUUUAAGGAAGGAGCUGUCGAAGGCGGGACCGGUAACUGGGGUGAAGUCGUAACAAGGUAGCCGUUCGAGAACGAGCGGCUGGAUCACCUCCUU